AUUGCUUCAGGCUGGAGACUGAAUCCAGUCUCACCUACUCCAUCUUGCUCAGAAGUGGACACCUCUUCAGAAUAUAGUUGUAAAAUAAAACAAGCAAUCAAACUGAUGCCACAUGAAGGAAAAGAAAAAUCUCUUUUUUCUUGGCUUUUCCCAGUCCUGGAGCACCAAUAAUUAGCUUUUCCUUCCUUUAAAAAGCCAUGAAGGGGCUAAGAAGCUAGGAAUAGUACUGAGCUACAGUGAGUACAGAGAAAGGCCUAUACUCUUUCAAGUCUGUAUCACAGGAAACAUUGUGACCUCACAUUCUAAGUCUUGAGAGCACACACAAGCCCGAGGAAUUAAAACAAGGAGAGAGAAAGAGAUUCUGCUCAAAUUCAAAGAAUAACUAAAUAAAUUAACUAGUAAUUGUUAAAAAUUAA
Pongo pygmaeus (Bornean orangutan) is the source of this 416-nucleotide long non-coding RNA. RefSeq lists it as uncharacterized. Lineage: Eukaryota; Metazoa; Chordata; Mammalia; Primates; Hominidae. The transcript has 2 exons. The record is from RefSeq and is a predicted model, not a curated record.